Molecule: ribosomal RNA, 273 nt
Filed under: Triticum aestivum (bread wheat)
Lineage: Eukaryota; Viridiplantae; Streptophyta; Magnoliopsida; Poales; Poaceae
Description: partial small subunit ribosomal RNA
Rfam family: Eukaryotic large subunit ribosomal RNA
Source: RNAcentral
UUAAGCAUAUAAAUAAGCGGAGGAGAAGAAACUUAUAAGGAUUCCCCUAGUAACGGCGAGCGAACCGGGAGCAGCCCAGCUUGAGAAUCGGGCGGCUGUGCCGUCCGAAUUGUAGUCUGGAUAGGCGUCCUCAGCGACGGACCGGGCCCAAGUCCCCUGGAAAGGGGCGCCUGGGAGGGUGAGAGCCCCGUCCGGCCCGAACCCUGUCACCCCACGAGGCGCCGUCAACGAGUCUUUGUGUAUGAAUGGACAGUGUCUGAAUGCAUUCAUCAU